This 59-nucleotide transfer RNA is filed under the name Ornithodoros brasiliensis. RNAcentral describes it as "tRNA-His". The record is from RNAcentral. Lineage: Eukaryota; Metazoa; Arthropoda; Arachnida; Ixodida; Argasidae.
CUUAAUUAGUUUAUUUAAAAUAUUAAAUUGUGGAUUUAAAGAUGAAUUUUCAUUGGGAA